This 424-nucleotide ribosomal RNA is filed under the name uncultured bacterium. Its description in RNAcentral is "bacterial SSU rRNA". It matches the Rfam family "Bacterial small subunit ribosomal RNA", at positions 355 to 776 of the family's 1533-position model. The record is from RNAcentral.
UAAGGAAUAUUGGUCAAUGGACGCAAGUCUGAACCAGCCAUGCCGCGUGAAGGAUUAAGGUCCUCUGGAUUGUAAACUUCUUUUAUAUGGGACGAAAACAGAUCUUUCUAGAUCCUUUGACGGUACCAUAUGAAUAAGCACCGGCUAACUCCGUGCCAGCAGCCGCGGUAAUACGGAGGGUGCAAGCGUUAUCCGGAUUCACUGGGUUUAAAGGGUGCGUAGGCGGGUAGGUAAGUCAGUGGUGAAAUCCUGGAGCUCAACUCCAGAACUGCCAUUGAUACUAUCUAUCUUGAAUAUUGUGGAGGUAAGCGGAAUAUGUCAUGUAGCGGUGAAAUGCUUAGAUAUGACAUAGAACACCCAUUGCGAAGGCAGCUUACUACGCAUAUAUUGACGCUGAGGCACGAAAGCGUGGGGAUCAAACAGG